CGCAUGCCCCCUGAGUAAUCCUUGGGAGCGCGAAAAAGUUUUGAAACUUUCCGCGACGUCAAUAGUAAACUAAAUCUGGCCCUCCAGAAAGGUGUGGCGGGGGUGGGAGGAGGCGGUGUUCAGGCGCACGACACUACGUUCUUUUGAGACUUUGCCGUCACAACUCUGCACGACUGCAUGGUCGUCCCUUCUUUUCGUUAUUAUAUAUUGGCCGUGAAUUCUGUGUCAGAGCCAGUUUCAGCCAAGCCAGCAGUAAAGGAGUCGGGGUCGAGGAGCGGAUCCCAGUCUUAAAAUGAGGGAUACACGGGACACCUGCACACAAACGUUGGAUUUUGUCCUGCAUAGUCCGAAAGGUACCACCCAGAUACCUGAAGUACUCUCUCCCAGUAACUCCCCUGGUUCCUACCACCUCCCACC
This 417-nucleotide long non-coding RNA is filed under the name Mustela putorius furo (domestic ferret). Its description in RNAcentral is "lncRNA (ENSMPUG00000029335.1)". The record is from RNAcentral. Lineage: Eukaryota; Metazoa; Chordata; Mammalia; Carnivora; Mustelidae.